RNAcentral lists this unclassified non-coding RNA (2949 nucleotides) under Hevea brasiliensis (rubber tree). The record is from RNAcentral. Lineage: Eukaryota; Viridiplantae; Streptophyta; Magnoliopsida; Malpighiales; Euphorbiaceae.
GAAGAAGCCUGCAUUCUCGACACCAAAAACUCCAUUAUUCCGCCUAAUUCAAGGCCAUUAAAAAAGGGAAUUAACAAAAAGGCCCCUCAACUUUUCCUAGCCCUUGAGCCCAAAUAGUGUUUAAGGUGUUUGAAUUUGAAGCCCAUCCCAAGGAAACUAGUUUUUUCAGCCCAUCAGCCUCAAUGGCUAUGGCUGAUCUGAUCCAACUUUAUCUCUCUCAGUCUCAACAACUCUUUUCUUUACUUUUCCCAGAGCUCCAACCGGAUGAUACAUCACUACACCCAUUCCCACCAAAUCCUCCGACGCAAUGCCAAUCUUCAAAACGCCAUUCAACGGCUACUCCGUUAAAUUCAGCCCCUUCUACGAAUCGCGACUCGCUGUCGCCACUGCCCAGAACUUCGGCAUCCUCGGAAACGGCCGUGUCCAUGUCCUCGCUCUCCCUCCAUCCCCUUCCCUUCCCCUCUCUGAACUCGUCGCCUUCGACACAGCUGACGGUGUCUACGAUCUCGCCUGGUCUGAAUCCCACGAUUCUCUCUUAGUCGCCGCUGUCGCUGACGGCUCCGUUAAGCUCUUCGACACCGCUCUUCCUCCAACGCAGAACCCUCUCAGAUCCCUCCAAGAGCACACCCGCGAAGUCCACUCCGUUGACUACAAUCCCACUCGGCGAGAUUCCUUCAUCACUUCCUCUUGGGAUGACACCAUCAAGCUCUGGACUCUCGACCGUCCCGCUAGUAUACGCACAUUCAAAGAACACGCCUAUUGCGUCUACUCCGCUGCCUGGAACCCUAGGCACACCGAUGUUUUUGCUUCCGCUUCCGGCGAUUGUACGGUCAGAAUUUGGGAUGUCCGUGAACCGGGUUCAACGAUGAUAAUUCCAGGGCACGAUUUCGAAAUUUUGUCUUGCGAUUGGAACAAGUAUGAUGAUUGUCUUAUAGCGACGGCGUCGGUGGAUAAGAGCAUUAGGGUGUGGGAUGUGAGGAGCUACAGGGCACCAAUUGCUGUGUUAAAUGGGCAUGGAUAUGCGGUUAGGAAAGUGAAGUUUUCGCCGCACCAUAGGAAUUUGAUGGUUUCUUGCUCUUAUGACAUGACAGUGUGUAUGUGGGAUUUCAUGGUGGAGGAUGCAUUGGUUGGGAGGUAUGAUCACCACACAGAAUUCGCAGUUGGGGUGGAUAUGAUUGUGUUGUUGGGGGAUUGUUGUCUAGUAUUGGUUGGGAUGACCUGGUUUACGUUUGAUAGCAUGGGACAGACCCCAGAGCACCCUAACAGGGAAGUGUUUUCUACUUGUUCUUCUUGUCUUAGUUGCUAGUUACACUGAAAGUUGAAUUUUCAAUAGAACGAAAGCAUUUGAGUGUUGCUUGUUGGGGAUAAUUAUCGCAGUUCAAUCUUGCUGAAUGAACCCAUGUAUAUCACUUUUAAUAAAGCAAAAAGGAUUAUACUUUGACAUCGCUUUGUGCGGUUAUAUAUUUGUUGAGUAGUUAGAUUGAAGAUGUGACUAUAUUUUUCACUUUCUUUAUGCAUUUUGUUUCUGAAGUAUGGCUUGUUUUGUGUUAGGUUUGAGAUGCAUGAUUAUGAAUUAUGUGGAAUAUUGCCUCUCAGAGUUGAUACUAUCAGCUGUAUGAUAGAAAAUUUGGAAAUGAAAUGCAUAUGAAUGAUUUUGUCUGUCUAUCCAUCUGUAUGUGUAAAUAUGUGAAGUUUGAUUAGGUAACUCGGUUUAUUUAAAGUAAACGUUACUUUGUUAAUAGUCACCAUUAGAAGUGGGGUUGGCCUGUUGGCAAACUAAGGAAGGUCAGUUCACACCUCCUCUCGGUUGGUCAUCAACUCAUCAUAUCAUUCUUCUGUAUCUAGAUUGUGAUGCAUUUGAGCUCUUUUACAAAGUCAAAAGGUACAACAUGAAAAUGGUGAUCAACAUUCAACAAUGAUUGAACUUGCUUUGCAGUAAUUCACAAUGCUUCAAUGUAUUGUGCAUAGGAUUUAAUUGUAUUUAGAUGAUUUAUUAGGUGGGUAAUAAUUGUCAUUUAUGGGAACCAAGGAGGGGCUAGAAUGACCAUAAUGAUUAUGAAAAUGUUAAUAUGCAUCAUAUGGAAAGCUAGAAGGUCGAAGAAAAUAACCAUUCCAUGUAAAGUUUAUUAACUAUUAGUUGCUUUUGGCAUCAAUGUUCCAAUCUGGUUUUGUAAGAGUGCAACUAAUUUUAGAUCUUUGUAUUGUAGAGUUCUGAACUUUGUAUUUUUUGGAGGUUGGCUUAGUAGAAAAUGAUUUAUAUCAAUAGAUUGAUUUGACAAAUGCUAGGCCUGAGAAUUGGUAUUCAAAAGUGCAUCUGCCUAUAUCUAGAUUGCGAGGCAUUCUGCCUGAAUUAACUUCCUGAGCGCCGAUUUCAUCUAAGAUUUAAGAACCUACUUCAUCUAAGAUUUAAGUUCUUAAUUAUUCCAGCAUUACUACUUGUCAUUUGAAUAGUGUUGCAAUUGAUGCCCAUUUGAGCUGUUUGCCUCUUCCCCUUUUUUUGUCUUUCUUUUCUUUUCUGUUUUCACGUAGGAAGUAUAUUUCUUUUAUCCAUGUAGGAGUUUGAUGCAACCCAAUGUGCAGCAGCUGAUAUUGGCCUUACUUGCCUAUCAUCUACUUGUAAGGCUUGCAAGAGUGUACUCUGAAUUAAUUUCCACAACAUUUUAAGUGGUGUGGGUAGCAACUCUUCCAUUGAAAAUAUGCCGCAGAGCAAGUAUAGAAUUGGCUGAACGAAGUAUGGGAAGAAUAUAGAGGCUAAAGAAACCAAAUGGGGAGCAUCCUUUCCCUGAUAAAAUUGAGGACUGGCAUGAUAAAGGUGAAAAUUGGGGUUAAGCUGAUGUUGGAAGUAGUUCCUUGCAGUCAUAAAUGCAAUCUUAAGUAAAAGUUGCCUCUGGGGACUAACCUUUCAGAAUACCAUGAAAAAGGUCUGUUCUCGCGUAUAUAUAUAUAUAU